This 134-nucleotide non-coding RNA is filed under the name uncultured eukaryote. The record is from RNAcentral.
CGCACUGUGGGCAUCUAGGCUCCGAAGGACGCAAGGUUAUGAGGAUGUCUUCCGCACUGUGGGCAUCUAGGCUCCGAAGGACGCAAGGUUAUGAGGACGCUGGCUCGCGGCGCUACUUGCCCGUGUCCCGCACU